GACGAACGCUGGCGGCGUGCCUAAUACAUGCAAGUUGAGCGCUGAAGGUUGGUACUUGUACCAACUGGAUGAGCAGCGAACGGGUGAGUAACGCGUGGGGAAUCUGCCUUUGAGCGGGGGACAACAUUUGGAAACGAAUGCUAAUACCGCAUAAAAACUUUAAACACAAGUUUUAAGUUUGAAAGAUGCAAUUGCAUCACUCAAAGAUGAUCCCGCGUUGUAUUAGCUAGUUGGUGAGGUAAAGGCUCACCAAGGCGAUGAUACAUAGCCGACCUGAGAGGGUGAUCGGCCACAUUGGGACUGAGACACGGCCCAAACUUCUACGGGAGGCAGCAGUAGGGAAUCUUCGGCAAUGGACGAAAGUCUGACCGAGCAACGCCGCGUGAGUGAAGAAGGUUUUCGGAUCGUAAAACUCUGUUGGUAGAGAAGAACGUUGGUGAGAGUGGAAAGCUCAUCAAGUGACGGUAACUACCCAGAAAGGGACGGCUAACUACGUG
Molecule: ribosomal RNA, 497 nt
Filed under: uncultured bacterium
Lineage: Bacteria
Description: partial 16S ribosomal RNA
Rfam family: Bacterial small subunit ribosomal RNA
Source: RNAcentral